Molecule: unclassified non-coding RNA, 234 nt
Filed under: plant metagenome
Description: partial contains small subunit ribosomal RNA, internal transcribed spacer 1, and 5.8S ribosomal RNA
Source: RNAcentral
UUUCCGUAGGUGAACCUGCGGAAGGAUCAUUACAGUAGUCGCCCGGGUUGUCGCAAGGCCUCCCGGGUAACCUACCACCCUUUGUUUAUUACACUUUGUUGCUUUGGCAGGCCUGCCCUCGGGCUGCUGGCUCCGGCCGGCGAGCGCUUGCCAGAGGACCUAAACUCUGUUUGUCUAUACUGUCUGAGUACUAUAUAAUAGUUAAAACUUUCAACAACGGAUCUCUUGGUUCUG